GAUGAAGAACGUAGCGAAAUGCGAUAAGUAAUGUGAAUUGCAGAAUUCAGUGAAUCAUCGAAUCUUUGAACGCACCUUGCGCCCUUUGGCCAUUCCGAAGGGCAUGCCUGUUUGAGUAUCAUGAACACCUCAACUCUUCAUGGUUUUCCGUGAUGAGCUUGGACUUUGGGGUCUUGCUGGCCUAUGGUCAGCUCCUCUAAAAUAAAUCAGCUUGCCAGUGUUUGGUGGGUAUCACAGGUGUGAUAACUAUCUACGCUUGUGGUUUUCCACCAGGUAACCUUCAGCAGUGGAGGUUCGCUGGAGCUCACAGAUGUGUCUCUCCUCAGUGAGGACAGCUCUUUGAAUGUUUGAUCUCAAAUCAGGUAGGACUACCCGCUGAACUUAAGCAUAUCAAUAAGCGGAGGA
RNAcentral lists this unclassified non-coding RNA (405 nucleotides) under soil metagenome. RNAcentral's name for it is "partial contains 5.8S ribosomal RNA, internal transcribed spacer 2, and large subunit ribosomal RNA". The stretch from base 1 to 121 matches the Rfam family "5.8S ribosomal RNA", at positions 35 to 154 of the family's 154-position model. The record is from RNAcentral.